CAGUAGCCGCGGGAAAACGUAGGUGGCAAGCGUUGUUCGGAAUUAUUGGGCGUAAAGGGCUCGCAGGCGGUUUCUUAAGUCUGAUGUGAAAGCCCCCGGCUCAACCGGGGAGGGUCAUUGGAAACUGGGAAAUUUGAGUGCAGAAGAGGAGAGUGGAAUUCCACGUGUAGCGGUGAAAUGCGUAGAGAUGUGGAGGAACACCAGUGGCGAAGGCGACUCUCUGGUCUGUAACUGACGCUGAGGAGCGAAAGCGUGGGGAGCGAACAGGAUUAGAUACCCCAGUAGUCCCUGUCUCUUAUAC
Molecule: ribosomal RNA, 301 nt
Filed under: uncultured bacterium
Lineage: Bacteria
Description: partial 16S ribosomal RNA
Rfam family: Bacterial small subunit ribosomal RNA
Source: RNAcentral